GCCAUCAAUAUCUGACAAUGGGGUUAUUUGAAGGAAUUUCGAAAUUUGCUCUUGUAUCAGCAAUUCUGACUGCUGUUGGAUUUCUUGUACAUUUGAUCGGUUAUGGCGCACCGUACUGGUUUAAGAGUGGAAUUUAUCAUUCUGGAAUUUGGAAGACAUGUUCUGGCAGCAUAUGUGUGGACUUUGUUGGCAGUGGAUCUAAUCAAGCAUGGUUUAUAGAAGCAGUCGAAGCUUUCGAGACACUUGCCUUUCUAGCAAUACUUGGUGCACUCAUCGUUAUUGGACUAAAACUUACAGUGAUGAAAGAGAAGAAGAUAUUGCCAAUUGCCAUCUUUAUACUUCAGUUUGCUUCAGUUGGUCUAAUCGUUUUAGGUGUGAUCAUAUAUUGUAACGAAGGUCCUACAAGUAGCUAUGGAUUCGCAUUUUUUUUGGUGAUUAUAGCUUCGGUUAUUAUGCUUGUCGCUGGAAUCUUCAGUGUCUUGGAUUGGAGAAGCUCUCCGUCACCUGCAUAGACAUUAUUGCAAUCGAAACAAGCAUUCAUAAGGAUUCAGUAGGUUAUAAUUGAGGUUCCGAGUAUAUUGUUAUAAAAAUAACAGGCUUUAGAUAUAAAUCUGGCUAUUACAAAACAGACUGAGAGUGAAGCUCAAACAAAUUCAGCCAAUAACCAUGUUUGUUUGCCUUGAAUGCUCCAAAUAAAUGUAAAACAGAAUAAAUUAAAGAGUCAUCAAAGCUCGUAAAAGAAAGAAUUUUGAUUUUCCAUCAUGUCGCUUGGAUCAAUGUACAAAAAACUGAUGAAGCGAAACUUUCUCUUUGAUACAAUUAGUAAAAUAUUAACAACUUUAA
Molecule: long non-coding RNA, 843 nt
Organism: Mytilus californianus (California mussel)
Lineage: Eukaryota; Metazoa; Mollusca; Bivalvia; Mytilida; Mytilidae
Exons: 3
Source: RefSeq, a predicted model, not a curated record